CCUUUUCAAACCCUAAAUUCUUUGAGAUAGCGUCCAUCCUUCUCUGUUCCCAUUUUACAGAAUCAUAGGUGAUGGUAACCUCCACUUGGGAUGGAAGGUUUUUCAACUACUAUUACAGCUCGUACAAACUUGAGCAUCUCCAUUCUCUUCUCUCGCCUCUCAAGGAGACCUUCUAAACCUCUGUUAAUAGAUCUCUUUUCAAAUCGACCCAAAACCAAAUAUGCAGUCAAAGUUUUCUUCACCUUCGAGUCAUUCGAAGUAUCCUAGUCUUGUGACCUUGUCAGAAGGAGAAGCCAGAGUAAUUAAUGUAAUCUCUACGAGUUGCAGACAGCACUUCUGAAGGAUGUAAGCUACUAUAGUGUGUGCGAGUCGAUGGGGUAGUGAUGUACUGAUACAAAAGCUUCUUCGUCAAAGAACAUGGAUACUAAAGCUUUAAAUUGUAUAGGCUAUUCUGGAGAUGUUAACUAAGAGAAAAGUUACAAUUAUGUAUAUAGUGUACUGGAGUAUUUCUUUUUAGUUCAUUUAAAUUGCCUGUGGUGUAUGACACUUGAAAAUGUUGACAUUAAUAUGAAUGUUUGCGGUAUUGCGAUGAGUAAAUGAAUAUAUUUGCAGCU
Molecule: long non-coding RNA, 614 nt
Organism: Nicotiana attenuata
Lineage: Eukaryota; Viridiplantae; Streptophyta; Magnoliopsida; Solanales; Solanaceae
Exons: 2
Source: RefSeq, a predicted model, not a curated record